RNAcentral lists this ribosomal RNA (252 nucleotides) under uncultured bacterium. Its description in RNAcentral is "partial 16S ribosomal RNA". It matches the Rfam family "Bacterial small subunit ribosomal RNA", at positions 524 to 776 of the family's 1533-position model. The record is from RNAcentral.
UACGUAGGUCCCGAGCGUUGUCCGGAUUUAUUGGGCGUAAAGCGAGCGCAGGUGGUUUAUUAAGUCUGGUGUAAAAGGCAGUGGCUCAACCAUUGUAUGCAUUGGAAACUGGUAGACUUGAGUGCAGGCGAGGAGAGUGGAAUUCCAUGUGUAGCGGUGAAAUGCGUAGAUAUAUGGAGGAACACUGGUGGCGAAAGCGGCUCUCUGGCCUGUAACUGACACUGAGGCUCGAAAGCGUGGGGAGCAAACAGG